RNAcentral lists this ribosomal RNA (468 nucleotides) under uncultured bacterium. RNAcentral describes it as "partial 16S ribosomal RNA". It matches the Rfam family "Bacterial small subunit ribosomal RNA", at positions 28 to 507 of the family's 1533-position model. The record is from RNAcentral.
GACGAACGCUGGCGGCGUGCUUAACACAUGCAAGUCGAACGGAAGGACCCUGCUUUUGUGGGGUGCUCGAGUGGCGAACGGGUGAGUAACACGUGAGUAACCUGCCCUUGACUUUGGGAUAACUUCAGGAAACUGGGGCUAAUACCGGAUAGGAGCUCCUGCUGCAUGGUGGGGGUUGGAAAGUUUCGGCGGUUGGGGAUGGACUCGCGGCUUAUCAGCUUGUUGGUGGGGUAGUGGCUUACCAAGGCUUUGACGGGUAGCCGGCCUGAGAGGGUGACCGGCCACAUUGGGACUGAGAUACGGCCCAGACUCCUACGGGGGGCAGCAGUGGGGAAUAUUGCACAGUGGGCGGAAGCCUGAUGCAGCAACGCCGCGUGCGGGAUGACGGCCUUCGGGUUGUAAACCGCUUUCGCCUGUGACGAAGCGUGAGUGACGGUAAUGGGUAAAGAAGCACCGGCUAACUACGUG